This 76-nucleotide transfer RNA is filed under the name Sphaerodactylus townsendi. Its description in RNAcentral is "tRNA-Ile". The record is from RNAcentral. Lineage: Eukaryota; Metazoa; Chordata; Lepidosauria; Squamata; Sphaerodactylidae.
GGAAGGUGCCAUGGCUCAGAGGCAGAACAUUUGCUUUAUGUGCAGAAGGUCCCAGGUUCAAUUUUCGGCACCUCCA